This 497-nucleotide ribosomal RNA is filed under the name uncultured bacterium. Its description in RNAcentral is "partial 16S ribosomal RNA". It matches the Rfam family "Bacterial small subunit ribosomal RNA", at positions 28 to 507 of the family's 1533-position model. The record is from RNAcentral.
GAUGAACGCUGGCGGCGUGCCUAAUACAUGCAAGUCGAGCGAACAGACGAGGAGCUUGCUCCUCUGACGUUAGCGGCGGACGGGUGAGUAACACGUGGAUAACCUACCUAUAAGACUGGGAUAACUUCGGGAAACCGGAGCUAAUACCGGAUAACAUGUUGAACCGCAUGGUUCAACAGUGAAAGACGGUCUUGCUGUCACUUAUAGAUGGAUCCGCGCCGCAUUAGCUAGUUGGUAAGGUAACGGCUUACCAAGGCAACGAUGCGUAGCCGACCUGAGAGGGUGAUCGGCCACACUGGAACUGAGACACGGUCCAGACUACUACGGGAGGCAGCAGUAGGGAAUCUUCCGCAAUGGGCGAGAGCCUGACGGAGCAACGCCGCGUGAGUGAAGAAGGUCUUCGGAUCGUAAAACUCUGUUAUUAGGGAAGAACAAAUGUGUAAGUAACUAUGCACGUCUUGACGGUACCUAAUCAGAAAGCCACGGCUAACUACGUG